GAGAGUGCAGGUGCAUAGGUCUUAGG
RNAcentral lists this non-coding RNA (26 nucleotides) under Homo sapiens (human). Lineage: Eukaryota; Metazoa; Chordata; Mammalia; Primates; Hominidae. The record is from RNAcentral.